This 254-nucleotide ribosomal RNA is filed under the name uncultured bacterium. RNAcentral describes it as "partial 16S ribosomal RNA". It matches the Rfam family "Bacterial small subunit ribosomal RNA", at positions 524 to 777 of the family's 1533-position model. The record is from RNAcentral.
UACGAAGGGUGCAAGCGUUACUCGGAAUUACUGGGCGUAAAGCGUGCGUAGGUGGUUUGUUAAGUCUGAUGUGAAAGCCCUGGGCUCAACCUGGGAACGGCAUUGGAAACUGGCUUACUAGAGUGCGGUAGAGGGGUGUGGAAUUCCCGGUGUAGCAGUGAAAUGCGUAGAUAUCUGGAGGAACACCGGUGGCGAAGGCGGCAUCCUGGACCGACAUUGACGCUGAGGAGCGAAAGCCAGGGGAGCAAAGCGGG